Molecule: small nuclear RNA, 108 nt
Filed under: Vulpes vulpes (red fox)
Lineage: Eukaryota; Metazoa; Chordata; Mammalia; Carnivora; Canidae
Source: RNAcentral
GUGCUUGCUUUACCAGCACAUAUACUAAAAUUAGAAUGAUACUAAGAAGAUUAGCAUGAUCCUCUGUGCAGGGAUGACACCCAAAUUUGUGAAGCGUUACCAUAUUUA